CACUACUUUGAUUGAUGGAUUGAGCCGAGCUGGGAAUUUAGAAGCCUGCAAGUACUUCUUUGAUGAAAUGAUAAAAAAUGGAUGCAUGCCCGAUGUUGUUUGUUACACUGUGAUGAUCACUCAUAGUGGGUGGUGCGCUUGAAAAGGCUCUGGCAUUGUUUGAUGAGAUGAUAGCAAUGGGCCAGUUACCAAACGUAUUUACCUAUAAUUCUGUGAUACGGGGGUUUUGUAUGGCAGGGGGGGUUGAGGAGGCCNAUGCUCAAGGAAAUGGAAUCUAGAGGAUGUAAUCCUAAUUUUCUUGUGUACAGUACCCUAGUGAGCAAUUUGCGAAAUGCUGGAAAGCUUUCUGAAGCUCGUAAAGUAAUAAGACAGAUGAUAGAGAAAGGGCAUAAUGUCCAUCUAGUCUCAAAGUUCAAGGGAUAUAGGAGAUGAUGAAGUAAUAGACCGUCUACAAUGGAGAAUUUUAAUCUGUAA
RNAcentral lists this unclassified non-coding RNA (474 nucleotides) under Hevea brasiliensis (rubber tree). Lineage: Eukaryota; Viridiplantae; Streptophyta; Magnoliopsida; Malpighiales; Euphorbiaceae. The record is from RNAcentral.